GAUGAAGAACGUAGCGAAAUGCGAUAAGUAAUGUGAAUUGCAGAAUUCAGUGAAUCAUCGAAUCUUUGAAUGCACAUUGCGCCCCCUGGUAUUCCGGGGGGCAUGCCUGUCCGAGCGUCAUUACAACCCUCAAGCUCAGCUUGGUGUUGGGCCCCGCCGCCCCGGCGGGCCCUAAAGUCAGUGGCGGUGCCGUCCGGCUCCGAGCGUAGUAAUUCUUCUCGCUCUGGAGGUCCGGUCGUGUGCUCGCCAGCAACCCCCAAUUUUUUUCAGGUUGACCUCGGAUCAGGUAGGGAUACCCGCUGAACUUAAGCAUAUCAAUAAGCGGAGGA
This 329-nucleotide unclassified non-coding RNA is filed under the name soil metagenome. RNAcentral's name for it is "partial contains 5.8S ribosomal RNA, internal transcribed spacer 2, and large subunit ribosomal RNA". The stretch from base 1 to 120 matches the Rfam family "5.8S ribosomal RNA", at positions 35 to 154 of the family's 154-position model. The record is from RNAcentral.